This 216-nucleotide non-coding RNA is filed under the name Paucilactobacillus suebicus. Its description in RNAcentral is "Lactobacillus suebicus T-box sequence". It matches the Rfam family "T-box leader". From Rfam's summary of the family: Uncharged tRNA acts as the effector for transcription antitermination of genes in the T-box leader family. The record is from RNAcentral. Lineage: Bacteria; Bacillati; Bacillota; Bacilli; Lactobacillales; Lactobacillaceae.
GAUAAAAUAAUGAUGAGAACAGCAAGUUAGUAUACGAUUCCUUAAGCGAGCCGGUGAUUGGUGUGAGAUCGGUAGGACCAAGUUAUUAAUAGAUCAUCUCUGAAUAUCUGACUGAGUUUUAGUAGGUUGGAUCGGUCCAUCACCGUUAAUUCAUGACUUAAGAGAAUAUUUUUUUAUUCUGAAUUUGGGUGGUACCACGAAGACUUCGUCCCUUGC